UACGUAGGGGGCGAGCGUUGUCCGGAUUCAUUGGGCGUAAAGCGCUUUAAGGCGGUUCGCUAAGUCGCGUGUGAAACCUCCAGGCUCAACCUGGAGACGCCACGCGAUACUGGCGUGACUAGAGUUCGGUAGGGGAUCACGGAAUUCCUGGUGUAGCGGUGAAAUGCGCAGGUAUCAGGAGGAACACCGGUGGCGAAGGCGGUGAUCUGGGCCGACACUGACGCUGUAGAGCGAAAGCGUGGGGAGCGAACAGG
RNAcentral lists this ribosomal RNA (254 nucleotides) under uncultured bacterium. RNAcentral describes it as "partial 16S ribosomal RNA". It matches the Rfam family "Bacterial small subunit ribosomal RNA", at positions 524 to 776 of the family's 1533-position model. The record is from RNAcentral.